AUGUUUCAGUUAUUUAAUUCAACAAAUGACAAGACUAAUCUGUCAUUCACAAUGUUUUUGCAGUUAGCAUUAAAAGCUGGUGUGUUUUAUGACAGAGUGACAAAUAUGACUAUUUGGGGAAACCAUUCAACAACUCAGGUUCCUAAUUUCUUGAAUGCCAAAAUUAAUGGGAGGCCAGUAAAAGAAGUCAUCAAAGAUACAAAGUGGCUAGAAGAGGAUUUUCCUAUAACUGUUCAAAAGGUAGACGGAGAAGGUGGUGAUGCCGCCGAGGCUGUUGCUCCCGGUGUCAGAGAGGGUGUCGCUGACCGAUGCCGCCGGCUUGCCCGAGGUGGCCUGCACGUCUUCAUGACCAGCCAUCUCUCCAGGUUUAUUAGUUCAGAUAGAUACAGUAUAUAUGGUACAAAGAUGUUUUCCGAAAGCAACUCUGUUAUGCCGCUCUAG
This 441-nucleotide ribosomal RNA is filed under the name Triticum aestivum (bread wheat). Its description in RNAcentral is "partial small subunit ribosomal RNA". The record is from RNAcentral. Lineage: Eukaryota; Viridiplantae; Streptophyta; Magnoliopsida; Poales; Poaceae.